Molecule: ribosomal RNA, 407 nt
Filed under: uncultured bacterium
Lineage: Bacteria
Description: partial 16S ribosomal RNA
Rfam family: Bacterial small subunit ribosomal RNA
Source: RNAcentral
GACGAACGCUGGCGGCGUGCCUAAUACAUGCAAGUAGAACGCAGUUGCGAACGGGUGAGUAACGCGUAGGUAACUGCCUCAUAGCGGGGGAUAACUAUUGGAAACGAUAGCCAAUACCGCAUACUGUGAGAUGGACCUGCGUUGCAUUAGCUAGUUGGUGGGGUAAAGGCUCACCAAGGCGACGAUACAGAGCCGACCUGAGAGGGUGAUCCGGCACCAAGGGACUGGAACACGGGCCCAGCUCCUGCGGGAGGCAGCAGUAGGGGAUCUUCGGCCAUGGGGGGAAGUCUGACCGCGCAACGCCGCGUGAGUGAAGGAGGUUCUCGGAUCGUUAAGCUCUGUUGUUAGGGAAGCGGUAGCUAACCAGAAAGGGCCGGCUAACUCCGUGCCAGCAGCCGCGGUAAUAC